This 406-nucleotide ribosomal RNA is filed under the name soil bacterium 1V-08. RNAcentral's name for it is "bacterial SSU rRNA". It matches the Rfam family "Bacterial small subunit ribosomal RNA", at positions 24 to 460 of the family's 1533-position model. The record is from RNAcentral.
UCAGAACGAACGCUGGCGGCAGGCUUAACACAUGCAAGUCGAGCGCCCCGCAAGGGGAGCGGCAGACGGGUGAGUAACGCGUGGGAAUCUACCCUUUUCUACGGAAUAACGCAGGGAAACUUGUGCUAAUACCGUAUGUGUCCUUCGGGAGAAAGAUUUAUCGGGAAAGGAUGAGCCCGCGUUGGAUUAGCUAGUUGGUGGGGUAAAGGCCUACCAAGGCGACGAUCCAUAGCUGGUCUGAGAGGAUGAUCAGCCACAUUGGGACUGAGACACGGCCCAAACUCCUACGGGAGGCAGCAGUGGGGAAUAUUGGACAAUGGGCGCAAGCCUGAUCCAGCCAUGCCGCGUGAGUGAUGAAGGCCCUAGGGUUGUAAAGCUCUUUCACCGGAGAAGAUAAUGACGGUUC